GAAGAUAUAGCAUAAAUAGUAAAACGUUUGUUUAGCAUGCAAGAGAUCACAGGUUCAAUCCCUCAUGUCUCCA
This is a non-coding RNA of Zostera marina, 73 nucleotides long. NCBI's taxonomy places the organism in Eukaryota, Viridiplantae, Streptophyta, Magnoliopsida, Alismatales, Zosteraceae. The record is from the annotation of a GenBank genome assembly.